Molecule: small nuclear RNA, 107 nt
Filed under: Microtus ochrogaster (prairie vole)
Lineage: Eukaryota; Metazoa; Chordata; Mammalia; Rodentia; Cricetidae
Source: RNAcentral
GUGCUCGCUUCAGCAGCACAUAUACUAAAAUUGGAAUGAUACAGAGAAGAUUAGCAUAGCCCCUGCGCAAGGAUGACACGCAAAUUCAUGAAGCGUUCCAUAUAUUU